CUAAGUGGAUCUCUGUUCUGUGGUGUUGAUAGGUGGACAUGGACACUAAGUGGAUCUCUGUUCUGUGGUGUUUGUCUUUGAUAGGUGGACAUGGACACUAAGUGGAUCUCUGUUCUGUGGUGUUUGUCUUUGAUAGGUGGACAUGGACACU
Long non-coding RNA from Oncorhynchus keta (chum salmon), 151 nucleotides. RefSeq lists it as uncharacterized. The transcript is spliced from 3 exons. Lineage: Eukaryota; Metazoa; Chordata; Actinopteri; Salmoniformes; Salmonidae. The record is from RefSeq and is a predicted model, not a curated record.